GGAUGAACUGAGGGUAGCGGAGAAAUUCCAAUCGAACCUGGAGAUAGCUGGUUCUCUCCGAAAUAGCUUUAGGGCUAGCCUCAAGUGAUGAUUAUUGGAGGUAGAGCACUGUUUGGACGAGGGGCCCCUCUCGGGUUACCGAAUUCAGACAAACUCCGAAUGCCAAUUAAUUUAACUUGGGAGUCAGAACAUGGGUGAUAAGGUCCGUGUUCGAAAGGGAAACAGCCCAGACCACCAGCUAAGGUCCCAAAAUAUAUGUUAAGUGGAAAAGGAUGUGGCGUUGCCCAGACAACUAGGAUGUUGGCUUAGAAGCAGCCAUCAUUUAAAGAGUGCGUAAUAGCUCACUAGUCGAGUGACACUGCGCCGAAAAUGUACCGGGGCUAAACAUAUUACCGAAGCUGUGGAUUGUCCUUUGGACAAUGGUAGGAGAGCGUUCUAAGGGCGUUGAAGCAUGAUCGUAAGGACAUGUGGAGCGCUUAGAAGUGAGAAUGCCGGUGUGAGUAGCGAAAGACGGGUGAGAAUCCCGUCCACCGAUUGACUAAGGUUUCCAGAGGAAGGCUCGUCCGCUCUGGGUUAGUCGGGUCCUAAGCUGAGGCCGACAGGCGUAGGCGAUGGAUAACAGGUUGAUAUUCCUGUACCACCUAUAAUCGUUUUAAUCGAUGGGGGGACGCAGUAGGAUAGGCGAAGCGUGCGAUUGGAUUGCACGUCUAAGCAGUAAGGCUGAGUAUUAGGCAAAUCCGGUACUCGUUAAGGCUGAGC
This 759-nucleotide ribosomal RNA is filed under the name Staphylococcus aureus. RNAcentral's name for it is "partial 23S ribosomal RNA". It matches the Rfam family "Bacterial large subunit ribosomal RNA", at positions 802 to 1561 of the family's 2925-position model. The record is from RNAcentral. Lineage: Bacteria; Bacillati; Bacillota; Bacilli; Caryophanales; Staphylococcaceae.